AUGAGACCACAGUGACACAAGUCACAGGGGUUAAAGGUGGCCUCUAUUUAUAAGCUAUCACUUGGAGAUAGGCUCAUGCACCAUUAGCUUGUUGGUGAGGUAACGGCUCACCAAAGCUCUGAUGGUUAGCUGAUCUGAGAGGUUGAUCAGCCACACUGGAACUGAGACACGGUCCAGACUCCUACGGGAGGCAGCAGUAGGGAAUAUUGCGCAAUGGAGGAAACUCUGACGCAGCGACGCCGCGUGGGUGACGAAGGCUUUCGGGUCGUAAAGCCCUGUCGGAAGGGAAGAAAAACACAAUGGCUAAUAUCCAUAGUGCUUGACGGUACCUUUAAAGGAAGCACCGGCUAACUACGUGCCAGCAGCCGCGGUAAUACGUAGGGUGCAAGCGUUGUUCGGAAUCAUUGGGCGUAAAGCGCGUGUAGGUGGCUAGUUAAGUUGGAUGUGAAAUCCCUGGGCUCAACCGAGGAAAGUGCAUUCAAAACUGGCUGGCUUAGAG
This 499-nucleotide ribosomal RNA is filed under the name uncultured bacterium. RNAcentral's name for it is "bacterial SSU rRNA". It matches the Rfam family "Bacterial small subunit ribosomal RNA", at positions 173 to 647 of the family's 1533-position model. The record is from RNAcentral.